Poecilia reticulata (guppy) is the source of this 306-nucleotide non-coding RNA. Lineage: Eukaryota; Metazoa; Chordata; Actinopteri; Cyprinodontiformes; Poeciliidae. The record is from RefSeq and is a predicted model, not a curated record.
AUGUUAGAGUUAUUAUGUUUGUUAUCAUUCUUAUAUUUAUAUAUUUAGAGGUUUAGUGUUCAAACUUGUUGAAACUUGGGAGACAAAAUUAAAUCUUCCUUAAUCAAGCAUGUUUGUACAGAUGGUGACUUAGAUCUUCCUGGGAAAGUCCUGAGCUGUAAAACCUAGUAUGUGUUAAUUUAGUUUCUGUGUCUCCCCUCUGUCUGUCUGAAUUCACAUCCUACUGUGAAUAUAGGAUGUGGGUUUCACCCCCUCCAUUCCUGUUCACACCUUUCUCUCUUCUGCUAAUAAAAGAGACAAACAAAC